Molecule: ribosomal RNA, 484 nt
Filed under: uncultured bacterium
Lineage: Bacteria
Description: partial 16S ribosomal RNA
Rfam family: Bacterial small subunit ribosomal RNA
Source: RNAcentral
AUUGAACGCUGGCGGCAUGCCUAACACAUGCAAGUCGAGCGGCAGAGCGGGCUUCGCCCUGGCGGCGAGUGGCGAACGGGUGAGUAAUGCCUAGGAACGUGCCCGGUAGUGGGGGAUAGCGUGGCGAAAGGCGGGUUAAUACCGCAUACGACCUGAGGGUGAAAGCGGGGGACCGUCAGGCCUCGCGCUAUUGGAUGGGCCGAGGUCGGAUUAGCUAGUUGGUGGGGUAAAGGCCUACCAAGGCGACGAUCCGUAGCUGGUCUGAGAGGAUGACCAGCCACACUGGUACUGAGACACGGCCCAGACUCCUACGGGAGGCAGCAGUGGGGAAUUUUGGACAAUGGGCGCAAGCCUGAUCCAGCCAUGCCGCGUGCGUGAAGAAGGUCUUCGGAUUGUAAACCGCUUUUGUUUGGGAAGAAAGGCUCUGAGCUAAUACCCUGGUGUUUUGACGGUACCGGAAGAAUAAGCACCGGCUAACUACGUG